Molecule: ribosomal RNA, 1429 nt
Filed under: metagenome
Description: bacterial SSU rRNA
Rfam family: Bacterial small subunit ribosomal RNA
Source: RNAcentral
GCAGCUUGCUGCUUCGCUGACGAGUGGCGGACGGGUGAGUAAUGUCUGGGAAGCUGCCUGAUGGAGGGGGAUAACUACUGGAAACGGUAGCUAAUACCGCAUAAUGUCGCAAGACCAAAGAGGGGGACCUUCGGGCCUCUUGCCAUCGGAUGUGCCCAGAUGGGAUUAGCUUGUUGGUGGGGUAACGGCUCACCAAGGCGACGAUCCCUAGCUGGUCUGAGAGGAUGACCAGCCACACUGGAACUGAGACACGGUCCAGACUCCUACGGGAGGCAGCAGUGGGGAAUAUUGCACAAUGGGCGCAAGCCUGAUGCAGCCAUGCCGCGUGUAUGAAGAAGGCCUUCGGGUUGUAAAGUACUUUCAGCGGGGAGGAAGGGAGUAAAGUUAAUACCUUUGCUCAUUGACGUUACCCGCAGAAGAAGCACCGGCUAACUCCGUGCCAGCGGCCGCGGUAAUACGGAGGGUGCAAGCGUUAAUCGGAAUUACUGGGCGUAAAGCGCACGCAGGCGGUUUGUUAAGUCAGAUGUGAAAUCCCCGGGCUCAACCUGGGAACUGCAUCUGAUACUGGCAAGCUUGAGUCUCGUAGAGGGGGGUAGAAUUCCAGGUGUAGCGGUGAAAUGCGUAGAGAUCUGGAGGAAUACCGGUGGCGAAGGCGGCCCCCUGGACGAAGACUGACGCUCAGGUGCGAAAGCGUGGGGAGCAAACAGGAUUAGACACCCUGGUAGUCCACGCCGUAAACGAUGUCGACUUGGAGGUUGUGCCCUUGAGGCGUGGCUUCCGGAGCUAACGCGUUAAGUCGACCGCCUGGGGAGUACGGCCGCAAGGUUAAAACUCAAAUGAAUUGACGGGGGCCCGCACAAGCGGUGGAGCAUGUGGUUUAAUCCGAUGCAACGCGAAGAACCUUACCUGGUCUUGACAUCCACGGAAGUUUUCAGAGAUGAGAAUGUGCCUUCGGGAACCGUGAGACAGGUGCUGCAUGGCUGUCGUCAGCUCGUGUUGUGAAAUGUUGGGUUAAGUCCCGCAACGAGCGCAACCCUUAUCCUUUGUUGCCAGCGGUCCGGCCGGGAACUCAAAGGAGACUGCCAGUGAUUAACUGGAGGAAGGUGGGGAUGACGUCAAGUCAUCAUGGCCCUUACGACCAGGGCUACACACGUGCUACAAUGGCGCAUACAAAGAGAAGCGACCUCGCGAGAGCAAGCGGACCUCAUAAAGUGCGUCGUAGUCCGGAUUGGAGUCAGCAACUCGACUCCAUGAAGUCGGAAUCGCUAGUAAUCGUGGAUCAGAAUGCCACGGUGAAUACGUUCCCGGGCCUUGUACACACCGCCCGUCACACCAUGGGAGUGGGUUGCAAAAGAAGUAGGUAGCUUAACCUUCGGGAGGGCGCUUACCACUUUGUGAUUCAUGACUGGGGUGAAGUCGGAACAAGGUA